RNAcentral lists this ribosomal RNA (507 nucleotides) under uncultured bacterium. Its description in RNAcentral is "bacterial SSU rRNA". It matches the Rfam family "Bacterial small subunit ribosomal RNA", at positions 29 to 511 of the family's 1533-position model. The record is from RNAcentral.
AAUUAACGCUGGCGGCGUGCCUAACACACGCAAGUCGAACGAGAAAGUCCUUCGGGACGAGUACAGUGGCGAACGGGUGAGUAACACGUUGGUAACCUGCCCUCGGGAAGGGGAUAACAUGCCGAAAGGCGUGCUAAUACCAUAUAACGUCCUGGAACCUACGGGUUUCUUGACCAAAGGAUGGCCUCUACUUGUAAGCUAUCGCCUGAGGAUGGGCCUGCGUACCAUUAGCUAGUUGGUAGGGUAACGGCCUACCAAGGCUCUUUAUGGUUAGCUGGUCUGAGAGGACGACCAGCCACACUGGAACUGAGACACGGUCCAGACUCCUACGGGAGGCAGCAGUGGGGAAUCUUGGACAAUGGGGGAAACCCUGAUCCAGCAACGCCGUGUGAGUGAUGAAGGUCUUCGGAUCGUAAAGCUCUGUCGAUCGGAAAGAAUGCUGCAAGCAUCAAAUCCUUGCAGUUGACGGUACCGAUGAAGGAAGCAACCGGCUAAACUCUGUGCCAG